Small nucleolar RNA from Syngnathus typhle (broad-nosed pipefish), 91 nucleotides. The record is from RefSeq and is a predicted model, not a curated record. NCBI's taxonomy places the organism in Eukaryota, Metazoa, Chordata, Actinopteri, Syngnathiformes, Syngnathidae.
AUGCUCCUGGGAUGACAUGCACUGGGCUCUGAGACCACAUGAAGAUUCUGUGCAACUUUGGCCCUGACAAGCCAGAGUUUCUGAGGAGAUU